RNAcentral lists this transfer RNA (63 nucleotides) under Hymenocera picta. RNAcentral describes it as "tRNA-Ala". The record is from RNAcentral. Lineage: Eukaryota; Metazoa; Arthropoda; Malacostraca; Decapoda; Palaemonidae.
GAGAUUAUAGUCAACUAUGACAUUUGAUUUGCACUCAAAAAGUGCCCCCGAGGGUUAAUCUUA